This 352-nucleotide ribosomal RNA is filed under the name uncultured soil bacterium. RNAcentral's name for it is "bacterial SSU rRNA". It matches the Rfam family "Bacterial small subunit ribosomal RNA", at positions 26 to 363 of the family's 1533-position model. The record is from RNAcentral.
AGGACGAACGCUGGCGGCGUGCUUAACACAUGCAAGUCGAGGGAGUCCAGACCUUCGGGUCUGAGGCGACCGGCGGACGGGUGAGUAACACGUAAGUGAUCUAUCCUCAUGCGGGGGACAACCCGGGGAAACCCGAGCUAAUACCGCAUGGACGGACUGGCUGCAUGGCCGGACCGGGAAAGGUGGCCUCUUCUUGAAAGCUACCGCGUGGGGAGGAGCUUGCGGGCUAUCAGCUAGUUGGUGCGGUAACGGCGCACCAAGGCAACGACGGCUAGGGGGUCUGAGAGGACCGACCCCCACAUUGGGACUGAGACACGGCCCAGACUCCUACGGGAGGCAGCAGUGGGGAAUA